Molecule: unclassified non-coding RNA, 252 nt
Filed under: uncultured Alphaproteobacteria bacterium
Lineage: Bacteria; Pseudomonadati; Pseudomonadota; Alphaproteobacteria
Description: contains 16S-23S intergenic spacer region
Source: RNAcentral
UCCGGCUUGUCGCCGGCGGUCCCUCUAGAGUGCCCAUCUCUGAGCGUGGCACGGGAUGUCAAACCCUGGUAAGGUUCUGCGCGUUGCGCCGAAUUAAACCACAUGCUCCACCGCUUGUGCGGGCCCCCGUCAAUUCCUUUGAGUUUCAACCUUGCGGCCGUACUCCCCAGGCGGGACGCUUAAUGCGUUAGCUGCGCCACUGAUAAGCAUGCUUACCAACGGCUAGCAUCCAUCGUUUACGGCGUGGACUAC